UACGUAGGGUGCAAGCGUUGUCCGGAAUUAUUGGGCGUAAAGAGCUCGUAGGCGGCUCGUCACGUCGGCUGUGAAAUCCCGAGGCUCAACCCCGGGUCUGCAUUCGAUACGGGCAGGCUAGAGUGUGGUAGGGGAGAUCGGAAUUCCUGGUGUAGCGGUGAAAUGCGCAGAUAUCAGGAGGAACACCGGUGGCGAAGGCGGAUCUCUGGGCCAUUACUGACGCUGAGGAGCGAAAGCGUGGGGAGCAAACAGG
RNAcentral lists this ribosomal RNA (253 nucleotides) under uncultured bacterium. Its description in RNAcentral is "partial 16S ribosomal RNA". It matches the Rfam family "Bacterial small subunit ribosomal RNA", at positions 524 to 776 of the family's 1533-position model. The record is from RNAcentral.